This 375-nucleotide ribosomal RNA is filed under the name uncultured bacterium. RNAcentral's name for it is "bacterial SSU rRNA". It matches the Rfam family "Bacterial small subunit ribosomal RNA", at positions 429 to 793 of the family's 1533-position model. The record is from RNAcentral.
GUCACUUUCAGUAGGGAGGAAGGUAGUGUAGUUUAACACCUGCAUUAUUUGACGUUACCUACAGAAGAAGCACCGGCUAACUCCGUGCCAGCAGCCGCGGUAAUACGGAGGGUGCGAGCGUUAAUCGGAAUUACUGGGCGUAAAGCGCAUGCAGGCGGCCUGUUAAGUCAGAUGUGAAAGCCCGGGGCUUAACCUCGGAAUUGCAUUUGAAACUGGCAGGCUAGAGUCUUGUAGAGGGGGUAGGAAUUUCAGGUGUAGCGGUGAAAAUUGCGUAGAGAUCUGAAGGAAUACCAGUGGCGAAGGCGGCCCCCUGGACAAAGACUGACGCUCAGAUGCGAAAGCGUGGGGAGCAAACAGGAUUAGAUACCCUGGUAG